Molecule: long non-coding RNA, 376 nt
Organism: Dicentrarchus labrax (European seabass)
Lineage: Eukaryota; Metazoa; Chordata; Actinopteri; Moronidae
Exons: 3
Source: RefSeq, a predicted model, not a curated record
UUUUCCUUCUCAGGUUUGAACCAACCUUGCUACAGGAGUUGGAUGAACCAUUAGCUUGCUGACACACAUUGGUCCACAUUGUUAAGAUUUAGGAGUGUAGACCGGCACCGGCUCAUCGUGUGGAGAAUAAUGAAAAGAUGUCAGAACCACUUCAGGCUCUAAUUGGAGCCGAUUAGCAAUGGAGGAGCAGCUGGGCCGGAGUCACAGGGAGGCCGGAGUCACAGGGAGCGCUGAUGAGGUUGUCCUGUGCUGACUGGGAGUGGCAAGCUUCAUUUGUCGAGUGUGUUUCCAUUUAGUGGCUACGAGAUGAAUCCCAGGACCCACUGUUUAUUUUUUGACCGCCUGCUCCCACCCAGUUCAAAGUCAAAACCACCCG